GUCUCUGAUGGCAUUGGUGACAUACUGACAGGUCCUGAGGAGGGUGACCAAGGUCUUUGGAAUAACUGCAGUCACCCCCAUGUAUUAAUUUGCAGGUUUUUUUGUUUUUUUUUUUUUUUGUAUUAUACUACACUCUGUUGGCCUUGGACUUUUCAUUAAGGAAAAAAAAUGUAUCACAGCUAUACUCCCCCCUGCGCCUUUGCUACACUUAAACUCACUCAACAUGAUUGGGGUUUGGGAAAUGCUUCCCCAAAUGAAUUGAUUAGCUAUUCUAUGAAGUAAAGCUGGUUACUUGCUUGCUCAGUUUUUGAAUGAGGAGCCACCAGUUCAACGUUUAAAUGAUGUUGCCAGGUGUAGCACCAUAGCCAUAUUAUCAAUAGAAUGACAGGUUACAAUCCAGGGUGACCCUGUUAGUCUUUUGUUUGCUCUGGCUUUUGUCAUUUCAUCUGAAAUGCAUCAUCAUUCCAGAAUGUUUUUCUUUAUUGCAAGGGCUGUGGUUGGCAGUCAGUUUUGUUUAUUAUCAAAAUACAUCCCAUUAAGUUCCAGAAGGACAGAUAAUUAUUUGGUUUAAUAGGACAUGGAAAUAGAAGCCUUACUAACAUGCACACAUGCAUUGUUUAAGACAAACUUUCCUCCCUGAAACUGUUACCCCUUGGCCUAUUAAUAUCAACUGUAAUACAACUGUAACUGUAAAGGCAACUUAAGAGUUCCAAUUUUCAAAGGAUAGAAGAAAUUCCUUUAGUGGUGUUUACUUAAGAGAAAGAAUGGUCAGAUAAGGAAAGUAGGUAGAUGAAGUGAUCAUGUCACUAAACACACCUUCCUCAUGUAACAGCUAUUUGUGAAGUUUAUGUCUCACUAGGCCAUGAAGACACAGAUAAUUAAUCUCUCCCCCCUCCUUCCCCACUCCCUCCCUAUCUCUCAUGAAGCUUCCCCUGUGCAUGGUGAUCUCAUGUGAUGGUCAGCAGCUUGAUUGAGCUCAGGUCUUCACGAAUGGCAAAGUGUGCACUCUACCAGAUCUGAAGAAUCCAAAGGGCAAAAGGGGAGCACUAAGAGGAAGCUGAGGAUCUCAGACUCUGGUGGAGCAGGGUGGCUGUUUGGUGGGAGGUAUUAUGCAAUCAAUCAUGGAGAAUUGGAUCUGUCACAUCAACCCUUUUUCAUUUGUCAGCAUCUGGGUCAGCAUGUGACUGUUCUUGGCUGACAUGGGGAAGUCCAUGAGGAAGCUCCUAAGAAAGAUCCCUUCUCCUCACUCAGCUGCUUCUCUUCUUCCCCCCACCCCCUUUUUUCCCCACUUGGUAUCAAGAAAAAUGUAUGUUUGGAGAGCUAUUGUAUGGAAUACAUAUGCACAGUUAUAAACACUAAUAAUUUAGAUGUAGACUUACUGACAGGGAGAGAUCAUUAUAACUAGUCAUUAAAACUUGACGUAAACCUUUUGUCUAAUGUAUGGGAUGAAAAAGAUCUUCCUCUGUUCUGGGAAGGGGGGCUGAAAAAAAAUCUCUCAUUCUUAAUGGAGUUUCUAGUUGGGUGAUAGUUUCUUUUGUUGUGCAGAAGCUUUGCAAUUUCAUGUAGUCCCACUGAUUAGUUUUUUUUUUUCCCUUGUGAAUAGAUUUGUGUUGUUGAAGACUCCUAGUAAAUUUAAGAUUGAAAAGAGCUUUGCCAGUGUUUUUCCUUUAAAUAUUUGGUAGUUUCUGGUUUAAUGCCCAAAUCCUUAAUCCAUUUGGAGUUUAUUUUUCUUUGUGGUGAGAUGAAGUGGUUCAGUUUCAUUCUUCUGCAUGUUUUGACCCAAUUUCCCCAAAGCAUUUGUUGAAGAGACUCUUCUUCUAUUUAAUAUUUUGGACUUCCUUAUCAAAAAUUAGAUGUUCAGAGGUCUGGGGGCUAAUUUAUGUGCUCUCAGUUCUAUUCUACUAGUCACUGUGUCUACUUAUGUUCCAAUACCAGGAAGUUUUGAUUACAAUAGCCUUAUAAUCAGUUUGAGACCUGGGAGUAUGAUUCCUCCAGUUUUUUUUUUUUUAGGUGAUUCUAAGUAUUUUUC
This is a long non-coding RNA of Erinaceus europaeus (western European hedgehog), 2029 nucleotides long. RefSeq lists it as uncharacterized. The record is from RefSeq and is a predicted model, not a curated record. The transcript has 3 exons. Lineage: Eukaryota; Metazoa; Chordata; Mammalia; Eulipotyphla; Erinaceidae.